RNAcentral lists this transfer RNA (77 nucleotides) under Eubacteriales bacterium. Its description in RNAcentral is "tRNA-Arg". It matches the Rfam family "tRNA". Rfam says of the family: Transfer RNA (tRNA) molecules are approximately 80 nucleotides in length. The record is from RNAcentral. Lineage: Bacteria; Bacillati; Bacillota; Clostridia; Eubacteriales.
GUCUCCGUACCUCAGUCGGAUAGAGGGCCCGCCUCCUAAGCGGGACGCCGCGCGUUCGAAUCGCGCCGGGGACGCCA